RNAcentral lists this ribosomal RNA (479 nucleotides) under uncultured bacterium. RNAcentral's name for it is "partial 16S ribosomal RNA". It matches the Rfam family "Bacterial small subunit ribosomal RNA", at positions 28 to 523 of the family's 1533-position model. The record is from RNAcentral.
GACGAACGCUGGCGGCGUGCUUAACACAUGCAAGUCGAGCGAUGAAGCACCUUCGGGUGUGAAUUAGCGGCGAACGGGUGAGGAACACGUGAGAAAUCUGCCUUCAACUCUGGGAUAACUCCGGGAAACCGGGGCUAAUACCGGAUAUGAGCCUUGAUCGCAUGAUCGGGGCUGGAAAGUUUUUCGGUUGAAGAUGAUCUCGCGGCCUAUCAGCUUGUUGGUGAGGUAAUGGCUCACCAAGGCGACGACGGGUAGCCGGCCUGAGAGGGCGACCGGCCACACUGGGACGGAGACACGGCCCAGACUCCUACGGGAGGCAGCAGCGGGGAAUAUUGGGCAAUGGAGGAAACUCUGACCCAGCGACGCCGCGUGAGGGAUGAAGGCCUUCGGGUUGUAAACCUCUUUCAGUAGGGAAGAAGCGAAAGUGACGGUACCUACAGAAGAAGCACCGGCUAACUAUGUGCCAGCAGCCGCAGUAA